This 373-nucleotide ribosomal RNA is filed under the name uncultured bacterium. RNAcentral describes it as "bacterial SSU rRNA". It matches the Rfam family "Bacterial small subunit ribosomal RNA", at positions 527 to 898 of the family's 1533-position model. The record is from RNAcentral.
GUAGGGGGCAAGCGUUGUCCGGAAUCAUUGGGCGUAAAGCGCGCGUAGGCGGCCCGGUAAGUCCGCUCUGAAAGUCCAAGGCUCAACCUUGGAAUGCGGGUGGAUACUGCCGGGCUAGAGUCCGGAAGAGGCGAGUGGAAUUCCUGGUGUAGCGGUGGAAUGCGCAGAUAUCAGGAGGAACACCAAUAGCGAAGGCAGCUCGCUGGGACGGUACUGACGCUAAGGCGCGAAAGCGUGGGGAGCGAACAGGAUUAGAUACCCUGGUAGUCCACGCCGUAAACGAUGGGCAUUAGGUGUGGGAGGUGUCGACUCCUCCCGCGCCGUCGCUAACGCAUUAAAUGCCCCGCCUGGGGAGUACGGCCGCAAGGCUAAA